Molecule: ribosomal RNA, 454 nt
Filed under: uncultured bacterium
Lineage: Bacteria
Description: bacterial SSU rRNA
Rfam family: Bacterial small subunit ribosomal RNA
Source: RNAcentral
UACGGAAGGCAGUAGUGGGGAAUAUUGCACAAUGGGCGCAAGCCUGAUGCAGCCAUGCCGCGUGUAUGAAGAAGGCCUUCGGGUUGUAAAGUACUUUCAGUCGUGAGGAAGGUGUUAAGGUUAAUAACCUUAGCAAUUGACGUUAGCGACAGAAGAAGCACCGGCUAACUCCGUGCCAGCAGCCGCGGUAAUACGGAGGGUGCGAGCGUUAAUCGGAAUUACUGGGCGUAAAGGGCACGCAGGCGGUUAAUUAAGUUGGAUGUGAAAUCCCCGGGCUUAACCUGGGAAUGGCAUUCAAGACUGGUUAGCUAGAGUCUUGUAGAGGGGGUAGAAUUCCAUGUGUAGCGGUGAAAUGCGUAGAGAUGUGGAGGAAUACCGGUGGCGAAGGCGGCCCCUGGACAAAGACUGACGCUCAUGUGCGAAAGCGUGGGGAGCAAAACAGGGAUUAGAUACC